Molecule: unclassified non-coding RNA, 292 nt
Filed under: Hevea brasiliensis (rubber tree)
Lineage: Eukaryota; Viridiplantae; Streptophyta; Magnoliopsida; Malpighiales; Euphorbiaceae
Source: RNAcentral
GAGCUAGCUAAAAUCGUUGCCAAAAUCAUCUCGACUAGACGAGAAAUGAAGAUUGAUCAUGGCGAUUUGCUCGGGUCAUUCAUGGGAGAUAAAGAAGGACUCACUGACGAACAAAUUGCAGAUAAUGUAAUCGGAGUCAUCUUUGCAGCUCGAGACACUACUGCUAGUGUUCUUACAUGGAUCCUCAAAUACCUUGGAGAAAAUCCCAGUGUCCUACAAGCUGUCACAGAAGAGCAAGAGAACAUAAUGAGAAAAAAAGAGGUGAAUGGUGAAGAAAAAGUUUUAAAUUGGC